Long non-coding RNA from Amblyraja radiata (thorny skate), 1958 nucleotides. RefSeq lists it as uncharacterized. The record is from RefSeq and is a predicted model, not a curated record. The transcript is spliced from 3 exons. NCBI's taxonomy places the organism in Eukaryota, Metazoa, Chordata, Chondrichthyes, Rajiformes, Rajidae.
UGUUUUAUUUGACAAUGCGUGGGUAAAUUUAUUUCGCACAGUAAUGAAGGUAAAUUGUCAUCGAAAAUAACGUGCCAGUUGUUUUAGGUACCCAGUUUCUGGUAUUGCGGUGGAUCAAUUAAACCCAAAUCAAAACUAUCUUGGAUGAUAUUUUGACACAUUCUGGCAGACCAAUUUGAAUUCUACAUGCCUUUCGGUAACAUGGUGGAAAUGGUACCUGCAAAUACAAACUUUUACCGAAUAUUAACUAGAAGUAAAGAUGCCAAAAAUGAGCCAUCACUGGCAUCUAUAUGCCUUCACAAGAACAAAAUCAACCAGCGUCACUUACCGCUCAAAAUAAAAAUUACCGCUCAAAGUAAAAAUUAUUUUGACAAUUAAUUGCUUGAAUGUUUUGGCCAUUAAGAGAAGGGAUGGAAAAUUACUUCACUUUGGAGAAAGUAGAUGUAAUAGCAGCGUGUUUUCCCACCUGCAUGCAAACAUUGUACAUGCAUCAUAACCAAACAGUGAAUGGACAAAUUCAAUGCUAUUAUUCCCCACCCAUUUCCCGUGAGCAAACAUUAAAGCAGAGUCAAAUGGUAAUUGAUGAGUGAUGUCCAUUUGUUGUUAAAGUGGGGACAAUGCCAGCCCAGCAUUCUACAGCCGGGAUAAGAAAUGUCUCUGAGACCCUGUCGCUUUGCUGCCUGCUGCAAAACAGAAAUGCCUUCAUGUCAUUUGCUUGAGAUUUAAAAGAAGGAACAAGAAAAACCUCUGUCACUCAAAGGCUUUCACUUCAAAACAUAUUUUUUAGGUAAAAUCAUAACCUUUAGUACCUGCAUGCCGCAGAGAUACAGAAUUACAGCACAUCUUACUGAUAUGACCUGCACAUAAAAGAACACAGGCUUUUCCACUUUACCUCAUAUCGGGGCUCAUACUAAUGAAACUCCCAAAGUGUUGAGAUAACUGUGGAAUUUAACAGUAUCUUAUACUCUUUUAUAAAUGCUGCUGUGACUUGCGAAAUAAAUUGAUGAACAGUUGAAGAAAUAGCCCUGCAAUAUGAGAUCAUUAUAUACAAUGUUUUAAAAUUUGGAUUAUCUAUCAGUCUAAAUCGUUAAUUUAGAAUGAAAGGAUAAAUAUGUUUGUAGGAAUAAUUAAACAGGUCACUGAAUAUAAAACACAUUUUUUACAAAGACUCCAUCAGAUAAAAAAAUUAGGCUGAACUGUCCAGAUUUGAUGAAAAGAACCAAGUCAUUUUUUACAGAAGAAUUAUUUUAAAUCUGUUUGGCUCCAUCAUUUACUCAUAUAAAUUAUUCUAAAUAAAUAAUACAAUAGAUAAAUGCACUAUUCGAUUUACAUGGGCAGGCAUUGGAUCUACCCUGUCUGAGCUUAGCAUGAGCACUAUUCAGUGGAUCAAGCGGAUGGAGAAAAAAACGAUGGUUAAUGAUGAAUUCAUGAAUAAAUUGAUUUUCAUCAAUUCCAUUUCUCCAUAACUAUUCCGCAUGCCUGCUUUGAUGAGGUUGAGGCGUCAUUUGAGCAUCAUUUCAAAGGAUCUAAACCAAGUAGUUGUUUGUUCAUGUCUGAAUCUUGGCCUCCCCUCACCAUUGUAGGAAGCUUGCAAAUGCACAUCAGCAAGUCUGACUUCAUUUUAUCCUGAAUAACUUAAUUGUGACACAUCAUCACAAAACAAAAUCUGUAUGUUGAAUUUGAGAGGAGGUAAUAUAUUCAGCUGACUUUCGACCAGCUCAUCAUACUUUUCAUCAUUCACAUCCCUGCAUUUUUCAGAUCUUGCUUGUGACUGGAGGUGAGGAAUGAGGCCUGAAACAACCACUUGGCUAUUAGUCCAACUAUUUUCCUCUAGGCUCAAGAUCCAAAGCUGAAACAAAAUAAUGAUUUCCAGCAUUUACUUAUACUAUGAGAAUUAUUUAUGAUGUAACCAACAAUGCAAAUUGAGAGUAGAAGCAUGGAAAAGCAGAUGCUGGUCU